Molecule: ribosomal RNA, 378 nt
Filed under: uncultured eukaryote
Lineage: Eukaryota
Description: partial 18S ribosomal RNA
Rfam family: Eukaryotic small subunit ribosomal RNA
Source: RNAcentral
CAAUAGCGUAUAUUUAAGUUGUUGCAGUUAAAAAGCUCGUAGUUGGAUUUCGGGUGGGACGCAGCGGUCUCGCAUUGCGUUUGUACUGCUGCAGCCCUCCUUCUUGCCGGGGGCGGCCUCUCGGACUUCACUGUCUGGGGGUCAGAAUCGGCGAUGUUACUUUGAGUAAAUUAGAGUGUUCAAAGCAAGCUUACGCUCUGAAUAUAGUAGCAUGGGAUAACACGACAGGACUCUGGCCUAUCGUGUUGGUCUAUAGGACCAGAGUAAUGAUUAAGAGGGACAGUCGGGGGCAUUCGUAUUCCGUUGUCAGAGGUGAAAUUCUUGGAUUUACGGAAGACGAACAUCUGCGAAAGCAUUUGCCAAGGAUGUUUUCAUUGA